GGGGUAGCACCGGUUUCGAUUGCCGGUGCGCGGAAGAAUAAGCACGCAGAGGAACGAGUGGCCUCUAUAAAACAUUCGGCUUAAACUUAAAUGCAGAUAACAAUGCAAACUACAACGCUCCUGUAGCGUUGGCUGCCUAAUUAACAGUUAAGCAGUUCGUCUGCCCCUCUUCCCCGCCGGGAGGGAGCGGGCGUCAAAAAAGGCGGGGUACGGCCGCGGCGAUGUGAAGUCGGCGCCGCGGCGGAACUAAGAUUUCUGCGGAUAGGCUCUUUCGGUCGCAGAGGGGCAUAUUUUAAGACAAUUGCGGCAUAAGCGUGUAGAAAGUUCUUUGGCAAUCCGGUAAGACGCGAGUUCAACUCUCGCCUACUCCACCA
This 374-nucleotide transfer-messenger RNA is filed under the name human gut metagenome. It matches the Rfam family "transfer-messenger RNA". Rfam says of the family: Bacterial tmRNA, also known as 10Sa RNA or SsrA, is named for its dual tRNA and mRNA-like properties. Its role is to liberate the mRNA from a stalled ribosome. To accomplish this part of the tmRNA is used as a reading frame that ends in a translation stop signal. The record is from RNAcentral.